Molecule: long non-coding RNA, 6494 nt
Filed under: Triticum aestivum (bread wheat)
Lineage: Eukaryota; Viridiplantae; Streptophyta; Magnoliopsida; Poales; Poaceae
Source: RNAcentral
AAAAAAGGUAUAUGGUGAAAAUAAUAAAACCAAAAGGCUAUGAAGGAGACAAUAAUGGACCUAUCUAAGAAUGUGUACAUUUUGUCCAAGGAUACAUUUCGCUUGCAACCCUAAGAGAUCAUCAACAAUUAUCAAGCAUACAGCUGAAGAAUUAGUAUUUGACAGUAACAAUAAUAAUAAAAACUAAUAAGUGGUGAUGCAAAAUUACCACUAGCAGUAAGGUAACGCAAUGGUGUUGAGAAAAUUGCAUACAAAAUCUGGGUGUCCAUGAGAUAGACCUGGGCAAAGCAUUAGCAUACUGUUAAACAACUUUUGGCAGAGAAUUAGGAUUGACACAUACAUGAAUUUCAUUGGAGCCCAAAGUCAAUGAUAACACCAAUAUUAUUAUUUUUUGCAAACCAAGAUCAAAUAAGAACACCAAAAUUUUCAAAGUUGCAGAUUGUUACACUAUUUCAUUAUUUGUGUGUGCCUUUAAAUCUCUAAAGCUGUAGAUUUUACACUUUCAUGUUAGAGUGUCACACCCAAUAUGCGAUACUAUCCUAAAGAGACUCGAAGGUCCCACCAAGGAUAGAACCCCAUAUUGAAACGCUUUUGCAAGGUGGAUAUCAUUACAUCAACAUUACAUAAUAGAUGGGGAUACAUACAAAAGGCAUACAUUGCCACACGGAUACAACAACAUCUUACAUAAGAGCACCAUCCGACUACGAAUGAAACAUAAACAGAAACUCAAAUGACAUCCACCCUGCUAGCCCAGGCUGCGGACCUGGAAACUAUCCCCUGAUCAAAGAAGAAGCACAAGAGGAACUCCAAAACAAGCAAGCAUCGCUCUCGCAUCAUGAUCAUCGCAUAACCUGUACCUGCAACUGUUGUUGUAGUAAUCUAUGAGCCACGAGGACUCAGCAAUCCCAUUACCAUCGGUAUCAAGACUAGCAAAGCUUAAUGGGUAAGGAAGGGGUAAAGUGGUGAGGUUGCAGCAAUGACUAAGCAUAUAUGGUGGCUAACAUACGCAAAUAAGAGCGAGAAGAGAGCAGGCGGAACGGUCGUGAAACUAGCAAUGAUCAAGAAGUGAUCAUGAACUCCUACUUACGUCAAACAUAACCCAAAAACCGUGUUCACUUCCCGGACUCCGCCGGAAAGAGACCAUCACGGCUACACACGCGGUUGAUGCGUUUUAAUUCGUAUCUGGUGUCAAGUUAUCUACAACCGGAUAUUAACAAAUUCCCAUCUGCCACAUAACCGCGGGCACGGCUUUCGAAAGAUAAUACCCUGCAGGGGUGUCCCAACUUAGCCCAUGAUAAGCUCUCGCGAUCAACGAAGGAUAUUCCUUCUCCCAGGAAGACCCGAUCAGUCUCGGAAUCCCGGUUACAAGACAUUUCGACAAUGGAAAACAGGACCAGCAAGACUGCCCGAUGCGCCAACAUCCCGAUAGGAGCUGCACAUAUCUCGUUCUCAGGGCAACACCGGAUGAACACUACAUACAACUAAAACCAGAUCUCAAGUUUCCCCGAGGUGGCGCUGCAAGUGGCUCUGGUUCGGACCAGCACUUAGAGAAGCAUUGGCCCGGGGGGGCUAAAAUAAAGAUGACCCUUGGGUUAAUUACUCCCAAGGGAAAAGUAGGUGGUGGUGAGGCAAAUGGUAAAACCAAGGUUGGGCCUUGCUGAAGGAGUUUUAUUCAAAGCGAACUGUCAAGGGGGUCCCAUAAAUCACCCAACCGCGUAAGGAACGCAAAAUCCGGGAACAUAAUACCGAUAUGACGGAAACUAGGGCGGCAAGAGUGGAACAAAACACCAGGCAUAAGGCCGAUUCUUCCACCCUUUACCAAGUAUAUAGAUGCAUUAAUUAAAUAAGAGAUGAUGUGAUAUCCCAACAUAAUCCUGUCCACCAUGGAGCAAUCUUCAACUUCACCUGCAACUAACAACGCCAUAAGAGGGGCUGAGCAAAAGCGGUAACAUAGCCAAACAAUGGUUUGCUAGGAAGGGUGAAAAGGUUAGAGGCUGACAUGGCAAAUGGGAGGCUUGAAGAGCAAAUGAUAGGUAGCGCAGCAAAGCGAUAGAACGAAGCAACUAGCAUAGCAAUGAUAGUAGUGAGAUCCAGGGUGACGGUCACCUUGCCUGAAAUCCCGUUAGGAAGAAGAAGGAGUCCAUGAGGAAGAUGAAGCCAUGAAUACGAACCGAGCAUAGACGAACGAAUCCUCACGAUCGCAACGAAACGGGAACUAUCGAGAAGAAGCACACAACAUGGUAAACACACCACACAUAGUCAUGGCAUGAUACUCAACCAAGUAUGAUGCAAGACAAAGCUAGAUGAGGCUACUCGUGGCAAGAGAUGAUGCAAACAAGAACAACACAUCAAGGCAAGUUUAAGUGAGGUCGGGAACAACAUAUAACAAUUCCGGUAAGUCCUCAUAUGCAAAUUUCAAAAUAGGUCCAGAUCUGAAUAACCUUAUGUUCAAGUUGUUAAACAGCAAGUUAAGAUGCACCAAGAUGAUCUACAUGAGAUUCUAGUCAAGUUACGUAUAAAGUUCACUUAGUUCAGAGCUACGGCCUAGAAGAUAUGAGCAAAACAAGUUAAACAUGGAAUUGAUGCAAAAUGCAUACAAAAAUCAAGCAAACACCUCAAAAUAAGGAUGUAACAUGAUAAUAUGAAACUACAUGCAAAACUAAGAAAGUUUCAUAUAGAGCACACUCAAAACGGAGCAACAGUUCAACACAUACACUCUAUACAAGUUUAAAGAACAAGCUGUCCAAAACAGCAACUAGGCGUCUAGCAAGCAUCAAAACAAUAUGCUACAGCAUCUCAACAUGGAAACAAAAGACAUGGACAUGAUGUACAGGUAAAGCAUGACAAAACAUGAACACUGGGCUAUCUCCAGAAAUCACUAGAACAUGCUCAAAAGGACAUGGCAAGAUUGCAUAUAACAACAGUUUCAGACUUUGCAGAAAUAACAUCAGGUUGCAAUGUUUAGAGCUAUCAAACAACAUGCUACAGGAACUUAUCAUGUCAAACAAAGGAAUUGCAUGAACCUACUAAUUGCAUAGAACAAAAGUACCUUACUGACCUAAUUCCAAAGAUCAACAGAAAACAUGGUAGCAUCCAUGCAAACAUGGAAAAUGAUGACAGAUUCAUACAUGGCGGGAACAACAAUCAGUAGACAUGUUGGUGAGCUUGUACCACUCACCACAAAGCAUUACAUGGCAUGAUAAGGCAACCAACAGUAAUAAUACAUGUCUAUGAAGCUAACCAUGGCAAGAGCAAGUUCAUAGGGUGCAUGGAUCACUAGCAAAGCACAUGGCAAAAACUGAACAUAAUGUUAACAGGCUGACAGCAACAUUAUUUAGCAACUUUGGAGCAAGAUAACAACAAGCUACAGCAGGCUAUAAAUGCAACUAGGGGCAUGGAUGGAUAGAGCAUGACAUGUAUAACAAAACAUCCUUAGUGAACAUCACCACAUUAUGCAUAGAAUGAGUUGUAGCAGCAGGUUUACAUAGCAUCAUGUUGUAACAGAUUCAGCCUAGCAAAACAGCAAUAGCAAGUACCCUACUUCACGAGCUCGAUGCACUCACUACAAGAAGCACAAAAAUACAUGGGUGGCAUCACUGUCAAGAUGGAAUGACGUAGUACAAAACACAUGUAGAGCUCAUUCUCAUAAGAUGCACACAUCAAAUGCAAGAAAAAAUGACAAAUCAUCAAGUUCUGUUAACAGACAGCAGGCAACAUUAUAUAGCACUCUAGCAAUAGAGAUUUGGGCUUCAAGAUGGACUCAAACAAGCAUGGCACAAUUAAAUGAAAUUAAGUGCAUCUCAUCAUGAAUAUUUUGAUAUAUUACACGCACAAAACGGAGCAGCACACAUGAAGUUAUGGCAUGAUGAAUAGGGCAUAAAAAUAUCACAGGAAAAAUGACGAUGGAAAACGAGGGGGGGUUCGACCUUCAGAUCUGGGGUUUGACCGCGGCAUGGAUCCCAAGGCGGUGGCUGAUCUCGCCGAAUCUCCGCCGGAGAAGAAGCGACGAUGGCCGGAGUUGGUCGGAUCGGGUGGAUCCCGGCGGCGGAGGGCGACGGGGAGACGCGGAGGCCCACGGGCAGCUCCGGCCGGCGUGGAGGGAGAGGCGCGGAGGAGGCGGCACGAGGAACGGCGGACGGCGGCACGGGGCCGCGCCGGUGAAGGGCGAUGCCGGCGGGAGGCAGCGCGCGAGACCGGCGGAGCCAGCGGCGGAGGAGGGUCACGGCGGGGCGCCGGCGCGAGGUCGGCGGGAUGCUGGCAGGGCGCGGGGCGGAGCCCGGCGGCGGCGGCGAGCGGCACCGGCGACAUGGCAGCGGCAGAGCGGGGCGUAGCCGGCGUGGUGGCGCGGGCGACGACGGUUGCGGGCCCGGUGCGGCCUGGUUCGACCCGGGGCGGGCCGGAUCUGGGCCUCGAGCGGCGGCGACACAUGGAGAUGCGGGAUUGGGCGCGGGGGCAGUGGCGAUGACAUGUCAGUGCGUGAUUCGUUGGGGUGAGGUGGAGGCUGGACGUGUCCGGCCGGAGUUUGACGUGUCCGGCGGCGCGAGGGGAGCGGGGCUAGGGUUUGCCCGAAAUUUUGGGGGAGGGGCUAAUUUAUAGGUAGAGGGAGCUGGGAGACUCCAAAUGGGGUGCGGUUUUCGCCCACAUGAUCCUGAUCGAACGACCGAUAGCAUGGAGCGUGUUUUGCUGGGUUAGAGGGCCACUUUGGAGGGGUGUUUGGCUGCAACAUAAAGAGGCCUUUGCGGCUACCCGGCUAACCGUUGAAGUAUCAAAGGGACUCCAAAUGGGACGAAACUUGACAGGUGGUCUACCGGUGCUAUACCAAGGCCACUCGGCAAACCUUAGUCCAUUCCAAGAACGUUUUUACCCCCGCUCACGAAAACAAGGUCUGAGAGGGGCGACGGGCGCGCGCGAGAGGUGUGGACUCCGAACGGACAACGAAGAGAACCGGCGAAACCCGAACGGAUGCAAGUUUUGAAAAGCAUGCAGAUGAAAAUACAGAUGAUGACAUGGCAAAAUGCAACACACAAGCAAAUGACAUGGCAACAACGACGAAUAACUGGAAGACACCUGGCGCAUCGAAUCCGUGGCGUUACAUAGAGCCUCAGUCAUGUUGAAUGGAGUAGCGUAUUUAGUGGUAAAUGUUGUGCCCAUCCCUCUAGCUCAGGGAGUAGCCUAUUCAAUGGUAAAACUAUGUGCCCCUCUACCUCUCAGCCUUUGUAGAUGAAAGAAAGUUACUUCGAAAGCUUGUCGUGGUAUGUUCAAUCAUAGAAGUUUCAUAGCACCAUAUACUAACAUAUAUUGCAAAAAUGUGCCUUGAAUGUCACAUGCACACAUUAAUUCAAAUAGGAAAAUGUAUGAACAUAUGCAGGAUUUUUUUCAAGAAUACCGAUCAGUCUUCUAGGCAUGGACGGUCCCAAGCCUGGGUAAAGGAGGAGGAUUGUGAUAGGCUUGGUGAGCCAACAUAAAAACUAGCCAGUCUUUUGGUUAUGAAACCCAUUUGGGAGAGAGUAGUACUAGGAUGGGUGACCUCCUGGGAAGUCCUCGUGAAAGGGUUUCAUAUCUAAGGGUUGUGAUAGGCUUGGCGAGCCAACGUAAAAACUAGCCAGUCUUUUGGAUAUGAAACCCAUUUGGGAGAGAGUAGUACUAGGAUGGGUGACCUCCUGGGAAGUCCUCGUGAAAGGGUUUCAUAUCUAGCCUACCCCAACUUGUUUGGGAUAAAAGGCUUCAUAAGUAAGUAAGUACCGAUCAGUCCUUAAGAUAGGAAUGGUCAGAACUAACAAGUACUACCUCAGUCUCAAAAUAUAUAUACGUUUUUGUAGGCUAGUUUAGCCUAUAAAAACAUCUUAUAUUUCAAGAUGGGAGGUAGUAUGUCUCAACUAGCAUUGAUAUUUAAUCCUAAUAGCAACAAACAUGAGUACAUCUAACUUAGACAAGUUCUGCUGCAAAUAAAAAUGCACACUGGUAUACCAUACCAAACAAUCACUUCUCGAUGUAGAAAAGACACAAAGUUAAUUAUUAAUUUGCAACUAUGCCAGGGAGUAAAGUGGUAGGUAAUAUAAAAAUAUAGGGAUAAGCCAGACUAAUAACAAUAGAAAGGAGAAGAACAGUAAUAUGGGCAUGGCCUAAUUUUUGGUUAGGGACUAAACGUGAACUACCACACAGCUUGUCUAACUAGUGUAGUUACUUAAUUAACUAGCAGAUUACACAAACUCUACACUGCUAAUGCUCGCACGGUGAGAGAAGAAAAGGGAAAUAGCCAACAGUGCUAGUCUAUUGUUGGCUGUAACUUGCAAGUAUCAGGAAACAAAAGCGGCCAUGUUUUCUACAUAAAGUUCAGUCCAAGAAAAUUGGAGAGUCCUUGGAGAACUAUGCUAAAGAAGAGCAUCAGUCACCUGGAAAGAAAAGAAAAAACAAAGUGAGUGUGUCGACCUUCUUGUUCUCUGGGGAAUCAUGGUUGUCGGGGAUCCUAGCCAUCGAGCUCAUCUGGCUCGAGC